GAAAUGCGAUAAGUAAUGUGAAUUGCAGAAUUCAGUGAAUCAUCGAAUCUUUGAACGCACCUUGCGCUCCUUGGUAUUCCUUGGAGCACGCCUGUUUGAGUAUCAUGAAAUCUUCAAAGUAAAUCUUUUGUUAACUCAAUUGGUUUCUACUUUGGUAUUGGAGGUCUUUGCAGCUUCACACCUGCUCCUCUUUGUUCAUUAGCUGGAUCUCAGUGUUAUGCUUGGUUCCACUCGGCGUGAUAAGUUAUCUAUCGCUGAGGACACUGUAAAAGGUGGCCAAGGUAAAUGCAGAUGAACCGCUUCUAAUAGUCCAUUGACUUGGGCAAUACUUUUAUGAUCUGAUCUCAAAUCAGGUAGGACUACCCGCUGAACUUAAGC
This 378-nucleotide unclassified non-coding RNA is filed under the name plant metagenome. Its description in RNAcentral is "partial contains 5.8S ribosomal RNA, internal transcribed spacer 2, and large subunit ribosomal RNA". The stretch from base 1 to 105 matches the Rfam family "5.8S ribosomal RNA", at positions 50 to 154 of the family's 154-position model. The record is from RNAcentral.